AUGGACCAGUCAAAGAAAGGGUUCUUGCCUAUGUUGCAAGGUGUGAAAUUGAGUCAGACUCAAAGUCCGACCACGACAGAAGAUAGAGAGAGAAUGAAAGUCAUUCCCUAUGCCUUAGCCAUAGGAUCUAUAAUGUAUGUCAUGUUGUGUACCAAACCUGAUGUGUGCCUUGCCAUAAGUUUGGCAAGGAGGUACCAAAGUAAUCCAGGAGUGGAUCACUGGACAGCGGUCAAGAAUAUCAUGAACUACCUGAAAAGGACCAAGGAUAUUUUUCUCGUUUAUGGAUGUGACGGAGAGCUUGUCAUAAAGGGUUGCGUCAAUGCUAUCUUCAACACAGAUCUGGAUGACUAUAAAUCACAAAUGGAUACGUAUUUAUAUUGA
RNAcentral lists this ribosomal RNA (381 nucleotides) under Triticum aestivum (bread wheat). Its description in RNAcentral is "partial small subunit ribosomal RNA". Lineage: Eukaryota; Viridiplantae; Streptophyta; Magnoliopsida; Poales; Poaceae. The record is from RNAcentral.